GGAUGUGAGGGCAAUCUGGCUGCGACAUCUGUUACCCCAUUGAUCACCAGGGUUGAUUUGGCUGGGCAGGUGUCCCCUUCCUCCCUCACCGCUCCAUGUGCGUCCCUCCUGAAGCUGCGCACUCAGUUGCCUUCCCCAAAUAGAAAUCUACCCUGAAGCGGUCUCCUGAUACAGUGAUCCCUAAAACCUCCACCAGGAUCUCAAUCAAAAAAAGCUCUAUCAUGCCCCAAAUGUAACAGAUCCUAAGGAGCAGCUGUCUUUUUUU
This 265-nucleotide small nuclear RNA is filed under the name Erinaceus europaeus (western European hedgehog). Its description in RNAcentral is "7SK RNA". It matches the Rfam family "7SK RNA". Rfam says of the family: 7SK was discovered as an abundant small nuclear RNA in the mid-70s but a possible function has only recently been suggested. Two independent studies have found that 7SK RNA binds the CDK9/cyclin T complex (known as elongation factor P-TEFb). The record is from Rfam by way of RNAcentral. Lineage: Eukaryota; Metazoa; Chordata; Mammalia; Eulipotyphla; Erinaceidae.